RNAcentral lists this ribosomal RNA (402 nucleotides) under uncultured bacterium. RNAcentral's name for it is "bacterial SSU rRNA". It matches the Rfam family "Bacterial small subunit ribosomal RNA", at positions 490 to 890 of the family's 1533-position model. The record is from RNAcentral.
GUCUCGGCUAACUACGUGCCAGCAGCCGCGGUAAAACGUAGGAGGCAAGCGUUAUCCGGAUUCACUGGGCGUAAAGCGCGUGCAGGCGGUGCGGUAAGUUGGGCGUGAAAUCUCCCGGCUCAACUGGGAGAGGUCGUCCAAUACUACCGUACUUGAGAGCAGAAGAGGAAAAUGGAAUUCCCGGUGUAGUGGUGAAAUGCGUAGAUAUCGGGAGGAACACCAGUGGCGAAGGCGAUUUUCUGGUCUGUUUCUGACGCUCAGACGCGACAGCUAGGGUAGUAAACGGGAUUAGAGACCCCGGUAAUCCUAGCCGUAAACGAUGUGAACUUGGCGUUGGUGGGUUAAACUCCAUCAGUGCCGUAGCAAACGCGAUAAGUUCACCGCCUGGGGACUACGGCCGCA